RNAcentral lists this RNase P RNA (351 nucleotides) under Butyrivibrio sp. X503. RNAcentral describes it as "RNase P RNA component class A". It matches the Rfam family "Bacterial RNase P class A". From Rfam's summary of the family: Ribonuclease P (RNase P) is a ubiquitous endoribonuclease, found in archaea, bacteria and eukarya as well as chloroplasts and mitochondria. Its best characterised activity is the generation of mature 5'-ends of tRNAs by cleaving the 5'-leader elements of precursor-tRNAs. Lineage: Bacteria; Bacillati; Bacillota; Clostridia; Lachnospirales; Lachnospiraceae. The record is from RNAcentral.
CGAGCAGGAUAGAUGAUCGCUGCCAUGCAUACGAAAGGGCAUGGGAGAGGAAAGUCCGGGCUUCGCAGGGCAGGAUGCCAGAUAACGUCUGGCGGAGGCAACUCCCGAGAUAGUGCAACAGAGAGAUACCGCCAAGCCUCUGGCUUGGUAAGGGUGGAAAGGCAGUGUAAGAGACUACCGUGCCGGUGGUAACACCGGUAGCCAUGUAAACCUCAUCCGAAGCAAGACCGAAUAGAAAGCUAUGAGUCGGCCCGGCUCGCUUUCAGGUGGGUCGCUUGAGACUGCCGGUGACGGCAGCCCUAGAUAGAUGAUCAUCCACGACAUAACCCGGCUUACAGUCCUGCUCACAGC